UAGGGAAUCUUCGGCAAUGGACGAAAGUCUGACCGAGCAACGCCGCGUGAGUGAAGAAGGUUUUCGGAUCGUAAAACUCUGUUGUUAGAGAAGAACAAGGACGUUAGUAACUGAACGUCCCCUGACGGUAUCUAACCAGAAAGCCACGGCUAACUACGUGCCAGCAGCCGCGGUAAUACGUAGGUGGCAAGCGUUGUCCGGAUUUAUUGGGCGUAAAGCGAGCGCAGGCGGUUUCUUAAGUCUGAUGUGAAAGCCCCCGGCUCAACCGGGGAGGGUCAUUGGAAACUGGGAGACUUGAGUGCAGAAGAGGAGAGUGGAAUUCCAUGUGUAGCGGUGAAAUGCGUAGAUAUAUGGAGGAACACCAGUGGCGAAGGCGGCUCUCUGGUCUGUAACUGACGUUGAGGCUCGAAAGCGUGGGGAGCAAAAAGG
This 429-nucleotide ribosomal RNA is filed under the name Gemmatimonadota bacterium. Its description in RNAcentral is "Gemmatimonadetes bacterium partial 16S ribosomal RNA". It matches the Rfam family "Bacterial small subunit ribosomal RNA", at positions 355 to 776 of the family's 1533-position model. Lineage: Bacteria; Pseudomonadati; Gemmatimonadota. The record is from RNAcentral.